AAAGUCCUCCGUGAACCUUCAUCCUGCUCUUGUAACCCGCGUAGUUCGCAAUCUCUGAUAAAUCAUAGCCCGGAAAGUUGUAGUGAUUCAGAGACCUCUAGUUACAAUCGAGCGGUAGUUCUAUAGGCAAUGUUUCCCCAAGCAGUCAGUGUCGGAAAGUGUCAUUGAUUGUGCAAGGAUAGCGCUUCUACGAUUCCUGUAGACCGUACACUCGGACAGGAGCUUUGCCAAAGGGUCCCCAUGCCCCCUAAUAACCCCACAGUUUAAUGUGAAGCUCAAUGUAAUACAUUGGGUAAAAAAACCGAACAACUGUUAACAAUGGAAAACUUGGAUCAC
Molecule: unclassified non-coding RNA, 336 nt
Filed under: fungal sp.
Lineage: Eukaryota; Fungi
Description: partial internal transcribed spacer region
Source: RNAcentral